Molecule: ribosomal RNA, 375 nt
Filed under: uncultured organism
Description: bacterial SSU rRNA
Rfam family: Bacterial small subunit ribosomal RNA
Source: RNAcentral
CGGGGGGAGCAAGCGUUGUUCGGAUUUACUGGGCGUAAAGGGCGCGUAGGCGGCCACCGCAAGUCGACUGUGAAAUCUCUGGGCUUAACCCAGAACGGUCAGCCGAUACUGCGGGGCUAGAGUGCAGAAGGGGGCAACUGGAAUUCUCGGUGUAGCGGUGAAAUGCGUAGAUAUCGAGAGGAACACCUGCGGCGAAGGCGGGUUGCUGGGCUGACACUGACGCUGAGGCGCGAAAGCUAGGGGAGCGAACGGGAUUAGAUACCCCGGUAGUCCUAGCCUUAAACGAUGAAUGCUUGGUGUCUGGGGUUUUAUAGUCCCCGGGUGCCGUCGCUAACGCUUUAAGCAUUCCGCCUGGGGAGUACGGUCGCAAGGCUG